GUCUCAGUAGCUCAGCUGGAUAGAGCAACGCCCUUCUAAGGCGUCGGUCGGGAGUUCGAAUCUCUCCUGGGACA
Transfer RNA from Psychrobacillus sp. FJAT-21963, 74 nucleotides. It matches the Rfam family "tRNA". Rfam says of the family: Transfer RNA (tRNA) molecules are approximately 80 nucleotides in length. Their secondary structure includes four short double-helical elements and three loops (D, anti-codon, and T loops). The record is from Rfam. NCBI's taxonomy places the organism in Bacteria, Bacillati, Bacillota, Bacilli, Caryophanales, Bacillaceae.